Zea mays is the source of this 87-nucleotide non-coding RNA. NCBI's taxonomy places the organism in Eukaryota, Viridiplantae, Streptophyta, Magnoliopsida, Poales, Poaceae. The record is from Rfam.
GACCGGUGAUGUGACCAAAAUAUUUGCUACUCUCGAUGGGGCAAGUGCCCCGCCUAAUGACCAUGAACUGCCAAGAUCUCUAAGGCC